CCUACGGGUGGCAGCAGUGAGGAAUAUUGGUCAAUGGACGAGAGUCUGAACCAGCCAAGUCGCGUGAAGGAUGAAUGCUCUCUGGGUUGUAAACUUCUUUUGUAAAGGAAUAAAACGAGGCACGUGUGCCUUUUUGCAUGUACUUUAUGAAUAAGGAUCGGCUAACUCCGUGCCAGCAGCCGCGGUAAUACGGAGGAUCCGAGCGUUAUCCGGAUUUAUUGGGUUUAAAGGGUGCGUAGAUGGGUUGUUAAGUCAGAUGUGAAAGGUUGGGGCUCAACCGUAAAAUUGCAAUUGAUACUGGCAGUCUUGAGUAGAGGUGAGGUAAGCGGAAUGCGUGGUGUAGCGGUGAAAUGCUUAGAUAUCACGAAGAACCCCGAUUGCGAAGGCAGCUAACUGGACGACAACUGACGCUGAGGUGCGAAAGCGUGGGUAGCAAACAGGAUUAGAUACCCCGGUAGUC
RNAcentral lists this ribosomal RNA (460 nucleotides) under uncultured bacterium. Its description in RNAcentral is "partial 16S ribosomal RNA". It matches the Rfam family "Bacterial small subunit ribosomal RNA", at positions 338 to 795 of the family's 1533-position model. The record is from RNAcentral.